This 72-nucleotide transfer RNA is filed under the name Ovis aries (sheep). It matches the Rfam family "tRNA". Rfam says of the family: Transfer RNA (tRNA) molecules are approximately 80 nucleotides in length. Lineage: Eukaryota; Metazoa; Chordata; Mammalia; Artiodactyla; Bovidae. The record is from Rfam by way of RNAcentral.
UCGUUGGUGGCUUAGGCGGUAAAGAAUCUGCCUGCAAUGCAGGAGACCUGGGUUCAAUCCCUGGUCCAGGAA